AAACUAUUUAUAUUUGUUUUGAAAACAAGUUUUAAGAAUUAUUUUCUUGUAGUUUU
Molecule: transfer RNA, 56 nt
Filed under: Ancylostoma ceylanicum
Lineage: Eukaryota; Metazoa; Nematoda; Chromadorea; Rhabditida; Ancylostomatidae
Description: tRNA-Ser
Source: RNAcentral